This 339-nucleotide long non-coding RNA is filed under the name Paramuricea clavata. Lineage: Eukaryota; Metazoa; Cnidaria; Anthozoa; Malacalcyonacea; Plexauridae. The record is from RNAcentral.
GUCGUUCCAAUUGAAGUGUUCCUCAAAUAUUGAUUCAAUACAUUACCUCAGGCUGACCAAUUCAUUUGAUCAAGUUCCUCGAGAUAUUCAUACACUUCCUGUGAAAGAGCCAAUUCCAAGUAUUUGAUCAUUUCUGGUCACUUCCUUUCUAUUUAUGAUUGGUUAGUUGCACAAACAACAAAGGUGAUUGGUGCAUUCAAACUAUUCAACAGGAAGUUUACAAUUAUACUAGGAAGUGUAUGAAUAUUUCGAGGAACUUGAUCAAAUGAAUUGGUCAGCCCGAGGUAAUGUAUUGAAUCAACAUUUGAGGAACACUUCAAUUGGAAUGACAGUAAAAAA